RNAcentral lists this transfer RNA (73 nucleotides) under Streptomyces clavuligerus. RNAcentral's name for it is "tRNA-Pro". It matches the Rfam family "tRNA". From Rfam's summary of the family: Transfer RNA (tRNA) molecules are approximately 80 nucleotides in length. Their secondary structure includes four short double-helical elements and three loops (D, anti-codon, and T loops). The record is from RNAcentral. Lineage: Bacteria; Bacillati; Actinomycetota; Actinomycetes; Kitasatosporales; Streptomycetaceae.
GGGGCUAUAGCUCAGUUGGUAGAGCGCUUGCAUGGGAAUCAAGAGGUCAGGAGUUCAAUUCUCCUUAGCUCCA